Molecule: ribosomal RNA, 255 nt
Filed under: uncultured Veillonellaceae bacterium
Lineage: Bacteria; Bacillati; Bacillota; Negativicutes; Veillonellales; Veillonellaceae
Description: partial 16S ribosomal RNA
Rfam family: Bacterial small subunit ribosomal RNA
Source: RNAcentral
UAGUGGCGAACGGGUGAGUAACGCGUAAACAACCUGCCCAACGGAUGGGGACAACAGACGGAAACGACUGCUAAUACCCAAUAGACUCCGGUUUCGCAUGAAACCGACAGGAAAGGUGGCCCCUCGAAGAAGCUACCGCCGCAGGAGGGGUUUGCGUUUGAUUAGUUAGUUGGUGGGGUAACGGCCUACCAAGACGAUGAUCAAUAGCCGGUCUGAGAGGAUGAACGGCCACACUGGAACUGAGACACGGUCCAG